This is a long non-coding RNA of Poecilia latipinna (sailfin molly), 2626 nucleotides long. RefSeq lists it as uncharacterized. NCBI's taxonomy places the organism in Eukaryota, Metazoa, Chordata, Actinopteri, Cyprinodontiformes, Poeciliidae. The transcript is spliced from 3 exons. The record is from RefSeq and is a predicted model, not a curated record.
AUCAAAAGACGUUUCUUCACAUCUCCAGACGCCAGGGAAAAAAGGAGAAGAAAAGAGGGAGAGAAGAAAAGAGCCAGAAGGGGGCAUACUGCUCUCUCUUUACUCUGGUGUUUUGGUGAAUGAGGACUUUUCACAAUACCCUCUCCUUUCUCUUUUUUUUCUUUUUUCAUUCUUUCACUGGCAAAAAAAGAGAGAAAGAAAUAGCAUUUCCCAACGCGUUUGCGCCAAAUUGUUCUUGCCAUAUCAAAAACAAUUAUCCUCAGGUUAAGAAUGUGCCUGCAGAAUUACAACCGAUCCAGGGGGAGAAAGCAGUCUUCACAAAUUUGACUGGCUUCCAGGCAGCCAAGACCCCCUCGAAGUGGUAAUGAAAAGUGUAACUUUAGCCUCCCAGCUGUACGUCUCAAUCCAUAAUCCUUCCCCAAAAACCUCACCGUAGAGCCGCCUACCACUCCCAUGGCGUUCCCAGCCUUUGCCGGGCUGGGCCUGCACUGAUUUAUGUGGCAGUCCUGAGUCAUACUCUCAACCUGAAAAGGAUUUGCUCUCCUAUAUUUACAGGGGUAGUCAGGCCGGCUCUCUUGAAAUACAGAAAGCCCUGUCUCCGGGCCUCAGUCCCCACGGUUUUUUCCCCUUCUCUGCCUCAGUAACAAGGACAUCUGGGACCUUACAAGAAUCAGCCGAGUCUCCAGUGUUUUUAUGAUGGAGUCUUUCUCCAGAGGAGAGGUCAGAGUCCAUGCACUCGCUCCUUGCAGCCACAUGGCCACGUUGUGGUAUGCAGAUACCCAGACACAGCUCCACUACCACAGUGGCUCAGACCACCUCCGAGGUUUCAUUAUCAUCGCUGGGACUCACUAAUGGCUUGACGGCUUCACUGAGCGGGCAGCUGGAGACGAGAAUCCAGGGAAGACGGAAAAGAAGAAGAAGCGAAGGGAGGAGAAUAGGGGCACAAGGAAAAUAGGGGGGAUGAGGGGAACGAGUCGUGGAGGAGAAAGGGGUUAACAUGAGGGACAAUACGAUGACGUCCAACUGCAUCCUUGAAAAUCAGCAGAGACUGAAGGAGGAUGAAGCAACAGGGCAAAAGUAAUGUCAAAGAGCCGGUCUGGAGAUCCAACAGAGUGCUCUCUGCAUGGCUGGGUGACCAUGCCUGAAAAAUGUUAGAAGUGUAUAAAUCCACCUCCCAUACAUCCACACCUCCACCUUGUAUGUUUGCAACAGCUAACCUCACAACAUGCAGACGGACCGGGGGAGGGAAUUCAGCUUCACUUUUUCCUUUCCAGACAAAUGACACCCUGACAGUUGGAAAAAUGUUGGGGUCCCUGAACAGAUUUCUCAGUUAUAAAAAUAAAAUGUGUUGGAUUAGACAAAGACAGACAUUUUAUAUUCUACUUUUGAACCCCAACGAGAGCACUGACAAAUGCCACCCCACCCCCACUCCGUCUGUGCCAUAAUUGUUGUUUUUUUUUUUCUUUCUCUCCCUCCAGAAAUGUCAUAUAGUUAAGAGGUGAUAAAUCUAUAUGGCAUAAACAGACACUGAUUUCUCCCAAGUGUAUGUAUAGCAUAUAGGCUGACAGAUUGAGAUGGUGUUUGUCUUUGCAUCAUGCUAAAUUGGCAUGAAAGCUUUAGUGUUUUUUUUUUUCUAUACUAAGAGAUUUUGAGCAAAAGAUUAAAAAUCGGGAGGAAUCUUAAAAAUAGUUUAAAUUGAAGUGAAAAAACACACAGCUUAAAAAUAAGUUGAAAAUCUUGAAAUUUUAUUGCUUAAUAGCUAAUUCAUGCUGUGCUUGUUGGUGUGUAUGUUUAGUGUGAGCAACACUGUUUGCAUCAUAUGUCAAACGCAUAUUGUAUAAAUGCUAAUGAUGUCAAUUUAAAUAUCAUAAUGCAUAAUUUCCUUCCAUCUGUCAAAACAAACAUGUUAAUCGGGAUAAAAUCACCUUAAAGUUUCAAACUUUAUGCAUUUUAAAAGUUAAGCAUCACAUUAAAAAAAAUAAAAUGAUUGUCAAAUCUGCAAAUUCAAUGUGUUUAUUGUGAAUAUUCAUACUUUUAACCUAUCAAAUGAUUCAAUUUAGUCUGGAACACCUCCACAAUAUAACAUGCUCUACAGAUAAUAAUCAUAACUGUCAAUAUAUUUUACAGUUAGUAAAUGUCAGAUAUAUCAGAAAAUAAGUAAAGCAACACAAGUACCCUAAAAAUAAUCAUAGAAAACAGUUAAAUAAUCAGUAAAAGACGUUAGUUUAACAGGUAAAAUCAAACAAAAUACCAAGGCAUAUUUUUUUACACUGAAUAGAUUCUAUAAACAUGUGACUAUUUAUUUAAAUGCUUGAUUAAAUGCUCAACCUUGGCACAAAAUUCGCAUAGAGGUUGAUUUAUUUCACUCCCUCAAAAAUUACUUAACUCUUACUGAUUUCCGCCCCUGCAACAUAUGCAAAUUACAUCAUUUGCAUAUGUUUUACAAGCAUUACAAUUAUUUCCAAGCAUUUUUAAUUUACAGUGCUUUACAAGCAAUAGAAAUGCUUGUAAAAAAAAAAAGUAACAUCAAAAGUAUUCUACUGGCAUGUAAAUAUGAUUUGAUGUAUUCAAAAUUAAUGUAGAUUUUGUAAUAUUUUUAAUCUAGAAUGAAUUGCCAUUAUAUGAA